CGCGCUGCAUCCCUGCGUUCCCCUGGGCGCGUGGUGCUCCCGGUCGCGAGCACAUGGAAGUGCGCUCUAGAUCUGCCUGAGACGCGCGACUCCACCAUCAUCAUUAUUAUCUUUAAUAAUAAUGAUACUAAACGGAAUAUAAACCCAGAAAGCGCGCGACGAGCAGCCCGAACGAGUGACUAUUCAUUCUGGAGCUGCACCUGUUGACCAGCGCACAAGUCCUUCCCAUUUUACGUCUUGGAUUUACGACUCUCAGCUGUAGAGAGGACCUUUCACUCGGCCUCUGUGGCAGAGCGGCAACAGCUGUGACGACUUCGUGUAAAAAGACGACAAGAGGUCGCUCGGCUCCUCUCUGCACCUUGAACCUGAUAGCAGCCCGUUUUGACACGGUGACUCCAUCAGCUGCUGCUGCUGCUGCUGCAGCUGCAGGACCCCUCGCCUUCCACCCGAACGCCACCACAGCUUCUGCACUAAUAAGACAACCGAAGAUUCUGGUGAGAAUAGGACGGAUGCAAAGAUGGAAGCAGCCAGUGGUGGAUUCAGUUUCACAGCAUCUUUCUGAAGCACAAACUCUGAGUCACAAGGACGCUCAUGUGGGUUUUAAUAGUAUCUACUUCCCUCCUUCUUUUAUAAUUUUUUUCAAGAGGACACAGAUACAGCCUCAAUGGGCCCCUUGCGGUUGAUGGUGUUUGGGAAGUACCUAGUGUUACAACUGUCACGGUGCUCUUAAAGGGGCAGCAGAUCAUUUUACACUUUGGGUGUUUUUCUAUACUUCUGUUCAACCUGAGCUAUGUUUGUUUGACUCACAAAAGAUAUGAUGCAUUUCAAAUAAAAUAAAGCCACAAGGUGAGGAAGAAGAUGAA
Molecule: non-coding RNA, 863 nt
Organism: Nothobranchius furzeri (turquoise killifish)
Lineage: Eukaryota; Metazoa; Chordata; Actinopteri; Cyprinodontiformes; Nothobranchiidae
Source: RefSeq, a predicted model, not a curated record